RNAcentral lists this ribosomal RNA (553 nucleotides) under Lecanora darlingiae. RNAcentral's name for it is "SSU rRNA". It matches the Rfam family "Bacterial small subunit ribosomal RNA", at positions 408 to 987 of the family's 1533-position model. Lineage: Eukaryota; Fungi; Ascomycota; Lecanoromycetes; Lecanorales; Lecanoraceae. The record is from RNAcentral.
CAAUAUCGACUUAGUCGAAUAAAAUUCUAGGUAGAAUUAUGAUAAUGACAUUAUCUGCCUAUGUGUCUUGACCAAAUUACGUGCCAGCUGUCGCGGUAAUACGUAAAAGACUAGUGUUAUUCAUCUUUAAUAGGUUUAAAGGGUACCUAGACGGUAAAUCAAGCCAUGCAAUGGGACUAAUUUACUAGAGUUAUUUGUGAGGGGGCUCUAAGGUACUGCUGGUGUACUAGAGAUGAAAUUCUUUGAUACCUUUUUUCGAAAGAAAAAUAACGGCACAGAUAUAGGUGAAAACAUCCCCUUAUGUAAUAACUGACGUUGAAGGACGAAGGCUUUUGAUCGCGAACAGGAUUAGAUACCCUAAUAGUAAAAGCAGAAAAUGAUGAAUGUCAUAGAUUAGAUAUAUGAUUUAUUCUAUAAACGAAAGUGUAAGCAUUCCACCUCAAGAGUAAUUUGGCAACAUUGGAACUGAAAUCAUUAGACCGUUUCUGAAACCAGUAGUGAAGUAUGUUGUUUAAUUUGAUAAUCCUCAAAAAACCUUACCACAAUUUGAAUA